AUGGCCUCUGAGAGCGUCUUGAGAUACAUCAUCAUCCCAGAGUUAGUUAUGUAUCAUGUGUCCGCCUCCUCAACGAUGGCGCCAGCUCUCAUCAGCAGGUGUUGUAACCUCUCCACCACCUUCUCCUCCUCUGAUUGGGCAUGCCUCAAGGAGUUAUACUUGUUCAUCAGGAAGGAGAUGGACUGGCUCAUGAGUUCACCUACAACUGCAGACAUGGCAACCUCCAUGGCUUGA
This 234-nucleotide ribosomal RNA is filed under the name Triticum aestivum (bread wheat). Its description in RNAcentral is "partial small subunit ribosomal RNA". The record is from RNAcentral. Lineage: Eukaryota; Viridiplantae; Streptophyta; Magnoliopsida; Poales; Poaceae.